UGUCCCGAUAGUAUAAAUAUUACUUUGGUCUUGUAAACCAAAAAUGAAGAAUAAUCUCUUCUCAGGACAUC
RNAcentral lists this transfer RNA (71 nucleotides) under Niviventer confucianus (Chinese white-bellied rat). RNAcentral's name for it is "tRNA-Thr". The record is from RNAcentral. Lineage: Eukaryota; Metazoa; Chordata; Mammalia; Rodentia; Muridae.